This 292-nucleotide ribosomal RNA is filed under the name uncultured bacterium. RNAcentral's name for it is "partial 16S ribosomal RNA". It matches the Rfam family "Bacterial small subunit ribosomal RNA", at positions 505 to 796 of the family's 1533-position model. The record is from RNAcentral.
GUGCCAGCCGCCGCGGUAAUACAGAGGUCCCAAGCGUUGUUCGGAUUCAUUGGGCGUAAAGGGUGUGUAGGUGGCUCGCUAAGUCGGGUGUGAAAUUUCGGAGCUUAACUCCGAAACUGCAUUCGAUACUGGCGUGCUUGAGGACUGGAGAGGAGACUGGAAUUCAUGGUGUAGCAGUGGAAUGCGUAGAGAUCAUGAGGAAGACCAGUGGCGAAGGCGGGUCUCUGGACAGUUCCUGACACUGAGACACGAAGGCCAGGGGAGCAAACGGGAUUAGAAACCCCUGUAGUCC